GGGAUCAUAGCUCAACUGGGAGAGCACAAGAAUGAAGAUCUUGGGGCGAGUGUUCAAGUCACUCUGAUCCCA
This 72-nucleotide transfer RNA is filed under the name Promethearchaeota archaeon. RNAcentral describes it as "Candidatus Lokiarchaeota archaeon tRNA-Phe". It matches the Rfam family "tRNA". Rfam says of the family: Transfer RNA (tRNA) molecules are approximately 80 nucleotides in length. Lineage: Archaea; Promethearchaeati; Promethearchaeota. The record is from RNAcentral.